AAACCUAAUAAAAUUUAUGACUUCAACUAUCCAAGAAGAAAGAAAGGUGAAAAAGGCAUAAAAAAUUUGCAAUUAUACAUGCAUAUGCCAUUGCAAGAAUAAUAGUUAGGAAGAAUUUACAGUACAUUGAUCGGACUUUCAAAUUCUAUAACUUAUUUCUGUAAUUUGAUUUUCCCCUUGAUACAAACCGCAUCCUAACGUAACACUGAUGUGACCAGAAAUCGAUCCCAAAACCUCUAGUAGUAUCCUAAGAGACUCUAGAAAAGACUACAAAUCUAGUGGCAAAUAAUCAGUAUUCUUACACUAAAUAGGAGGACAUUAAGUUCCAACUAAUCUUCAUGUGAGAAGGCAUCGAUGCCACAAAGCGAAGUAGAUCUGGGCCAUCUGGCUUUGAGCUAAGUGUUGGAAACAGAUUAUCUGAUUUCUGAUUCAAAACAUUUAUGAAUUUAGCAAUGUUUGGAAGUACAAGCUCUCUACAGUGGAGAUGUAAUAAAGGAACCUUGGAUAAUACACUUCCCUUCUGAACAUCUAGGCCGUCUGGCCUUCGCAGUUUGUAAGGUUUCCCAGAUGUAGGCUCAAUAUCAACGCGAGGCAUUUGCUUCCAUCUCCGGUGCACAAACCAACCAUACUUAUAGUCACCAACAAUUGGAGUGCCUAGAGCUUCAGCACAAUGGACACGAAGCUGCGAGAAAUGGAAGAAAUCAAAUUCGAUGUGGCCAAUUCUAUCUACAACAUGUUUUUUUCUUCACCUGAAGCUUAUGUUUUCAUUUCAUUUCUCUCAUUAAAAGGGGCAAAUCAAGAAAUGAAAACUAGUCAUGAUAGUCAACCAAUGCCGGAGCCUUGAAACUUUAACAUUAUUUCAUAAAUAUUCAUAGAUAAAUAAGUAAUUUAAUUAUACGAAUUACAAAUGAAUUUUAAAUGAAUAUAUCAUAUUCAACUUGUUUAUGACCCAUUUAUUAAACGAAUACAUGAAUCAAUAACCUCAAACCCGAAUUCGAUUUGUUUAAUUAGCAAAUUGAAUCAAAUUCACAUGUUUAUUAAACGAAUUAAUUUUUUCAUACCCAAGCCCAUUUAAUUCGCAUCGAAUCAAGUAAACGAAUUCCAAUCCAAAUUAACACCCCUAGUAAAAAUAUUUUUUUUUGCAUGACGUAAUAAUGCAAGCUUUGUGUAAAAAGAUACAUAUACAAAUAUAAAUAUUUUUUAUUUAUUAGCUAAAUGUGUUUAUUUAGUAUUUACUAUCUUAUUUCAUGUAUCAAUACCAUUGUCUAUUGAAUUUAUUGUAAGUUGUUGAUGCACAUUUGAGCUCUUGAUUGUGAGAAAAAUUUAUAUGGAUCGAGUAUAUUCCUCAACAAAUCAGAUUCUGCUAAAUGACAGAGCGGUGGUCACAUGUUGGGUCCAACAAGAGGAUCCUUCUCCCUCUGCUUUAAUUUUCUAGGACUGAGGACUCACCAAAAUGAAGGCAAUGAAUCGAGUUACAAAAAAUACUGGGAAGGUUUGUCAAUAAAUGAAAGGGGCAGAAUGAAAUUAACCAUUAAACAUUAUUUGGAGGUGAAAGUGUUGUGAAAUUUAAAAUUCAAAAUAAAACCUAAUAAAAUUUAUGACUUCAACUAUCCAAGAAGAAAGAAAGGUGAAAAAGGCAUAAAAAAUUUGCAAUUAUACAUGCAUAUGCCAUUGCAAGAAUAAUAGUUAGGAAGAAUUUACAGUACAUUGAUCGGACUUUCAAAUUCUAUAACUUAUUUCUGUAAUUUGAUUUUCCCCUUGAUACAAACCGCAUCCUAACGUAACACUGAUGUGACCAGAAAUCGAUCCCAAAACCUCUAGUAGUAUCCUAAGAGACUCUAGAAAAGACUACAAAUCUAGUGGCAAAUAAUCAGUAUUCUUACACUAAAUAGGAGGACAUUAAGUUCCAACUAAUCUUCAUGUGAGAAGGCAUCGAUGCCACAAAGCGAAGUAGAUCUGGGCCAUCUGGCUUUGAGCUAAGUGUUGGAAACAGAUUAUCUGAUUUCUGAUUCAAAACAUUUAUGAAUUUAGCAAUGUUUGGAAGUACAAGCUCUCUACAGUGGAGAUGUAAUAAAGGAACCUUGGAUAAUACACUUCCCUUCUGAACAUCUAGGCCGUCUGGCCUUCGCAGUUUGUAAGGUUUCCCAGAUGUAGGCUCAAUAUCAACGCGAGGCAUUUGCUUCCAUCUCCGGUGCACAAACCAACCAUACUUAUAGUCACCAACAAUUGGAGUGCCUAGAGCUUCAGCACAAUGGACACGAAGCUGCGAGAAAU
Molecule: long non-coding RNA, 2274 nt
Filed under: Citrus sinensis (sweet orange)
Lineage: Eukaryota; Viridiplantae; Streptophyta; Magnoliopsida; Sapindales; Rutaceae
Description: long non-coding RNA (CSIN_LNC000591)
Source: RNAcentral